Long non-coding RNA from Condylura cristata (star-nosed mole), 1103 nucleotides. RefSeq lists it as uncharacterized. Lineage: Eukaryota; Metazoa; Chordata; Mammalia; Eulipotyphla; Talpidae. The transcript is spliced from 3 exons. The record is from RefSeq and is a predicted model, not a curated record.
CGGCCACGUGGGCUGGGGCGGCGUGCCAGGGUCCCCAGGGCACGGCUGGACCUCAGGCGCCAGCGGGACACCGACCCGACCCGACUUGGAAUCCCCGUCCGCCGGCGAGCCCGGGCGACCUGGACGCGGCGGCCGCGGCCGAGCCUCAGGUUCCCGUCCAAGAUAAUGGUCCCUGCUGAGCCUGGAACGGUCCCUGCUCUUGGCACCAAGGACUGGAGGAAGCACACGGUAACUGCAUGCUCCUCAAGAGACCCCCCCACACCCUGGCAUAUGCUCAUACCAUGUCUCUGUCAGAAAGUAAAAAUCGAACCCAAAGAAGCUUGAGACGUGCUCCCUUGUGGACUGCGGGGCUGGGACCAAGCCCUAGUCUCUCACGUGCACCUGCUUAUCCCGUGGACGCCUUUGAAUAAGCUGAACUUUGUUAUAAUUGGGGAGAGAAUUGCUUCCUUUCAAGACUCUGACACUCAGCAAAUAAACCUCAUUCCCUGCCUCUGUGUUUGUCUCGUCUGAACAUUCCUGCACGGAAAUGUCUGCCCAAAGCAUGCUGCUCCCCGCACUUCGCAGGGAGACGCCCAGGGACUUGUGCCUGCGGCACUUGCUGACCUGGGCGGUGUCUGUCUCUCCGGGGCACCUUGGUCCAGCUACACACACCUAGUUUCCUUUCAUAUUGAAAAUCAAAAUUCUAGAACUAGCAUCCUCAAGGUUUAAGAGUAUUAAGAUACAGUUGUGAGGCCUUGAGAUUUUUCUAGCAAGGACAUGCAAUAUAGCGCCACCUACUGGUUAACAGGGCUUUCUGGGUUACUUUUUGGGGCCACUUAGAAUUUUUGAUAGAGAAUGGUAUAGAGGACACAGAGCCCUAGAUCAAAAGUCCUCUUAAAGAAGAAAUUGCAGAGGAGUAACGUGAAUUGUAGGUUAAGACUUGGGAAGUGGUGAGCCAGAAUGACAAGCUGACCUAGGCCUCUGUAUUAGAGCAAACCUUAAAAAUGUAUCUGAAGAUCUUAAACAUGUCAGAGAUUAUCUUUUUAAUCUUGAAAUAUCUUUUCCCUGACAAAAUGGUGAACUUGGGAAGAAACUUUAGAUUCUAUAAAGGUUAAAAAAUCACU